AGUGAACGCUGGCGGUAGGCCUAACACAUGCAAGUCGAACGGCAGCACAGUAAGAGCUUGCUCUUACGGGUGGCGAGUGGCGGACGGGUGAGGAAUACAUCGGAAUCUACUUUUUCGUGGGGGAUAACGUAGGGAAACUUACGCUAAUACCGCAUACGACCUACGGUUGCAAGCAGGGGAUCUUCGUACCUUGCGCGAUUGAAUGAGCCGAUGUCGGAUUAGCUAGUUGGCGGGGUAAAGGCCCACCAAGGCGACGAUCCGUAGCUGGUCUGAGAGGAUGAGCAGCCACACGGGAAGUGAGACACGGUCCAGACUCCUACGGGAGGCAGCAGUGGGGAAUAUUGGACAAUGGGCGCAAGCCUGAUCCAGCCAUACCGCGUGGGUGAAGAAGGCCUUCGGGUUGUAAAGCCCUUUUGUUGGGAAAGAAAAGCAGCAGGUUAAUACCCCGCUGUUCUGACGGUACCCAAAGAAUAAGCACCGGCUAACUUCGUG
RNAcentral lists this ribosomal RNA (492 nucleotides) under uncultured bacterium. RNAcentral describes it as "partial 16S ribosomal RNA". It matches the Rfam family "Bacterial small subunit ribosomal RNA", at positions 29 to 507 of the family's 1533-position model. The record is from RNAcentral.